Molecule: ribosomal RNA, 500 nt
Filed under: uncultured Myrionecta
Lineage: Eukaryota; Ciliophora; Litostomatea; Cyclotrichida; Mesodiniidae
Description: SSU rRNA
Rfam family: Eukaryotic small subunit ribosomal RNA
Source: RNAcentral
GCUGUUCAGAUAGCCAUGCACGUCUAAGUACAAACUAAAUGAUGGUGAAACUGCAAAUGGCUCAUUACAACGGUUAUGAUGUACCCGGGAGUUCCGAUGGAUAUUUCCAGUAACACUAGAACUAAUACAUGUCCCUGCGUUUAUUAGUUUCGCACAGUCCGUCGCUGAGCCAUGGUAAACAGUUGAUCGACUCGACGUCCCGGAACAGUUUCCGCCCCAUCAGCUUCGAUGGUUGGGUAUUGGCCUACCAUUGCAACAACGGGUAACGAGGAAUUAGGGUUUGAUUUCGGAGAGGGAGCCUGAGAAACGGCUACCACAUCUACGGAUGGCAGCAGGCGCGCAAAUUACCCAAUGCAGACACUGUGAGGUAGUGACGAGAAAUAAUAAAGCGGGACUUCUGUUUCGCUAUUAUAAUGAGGAAUAACCAAAGGUCAUUCCGAUUAGCAACUGAUGGGAAAGUCUGGUGCCAGCAGCCGCGGUAAUACCAGCGUCAGUAGCAU